GAAAUGUUAAAAAAAUAAAAACACUGAUAGACAUCCAAAACUACAAAAGUCAUCUUAUAAACAACUAAUCAAGUCUUUAGUUUGACCUGACGAGGUUUGAACCCACUAUGUUCUGAUAUUAUCCUCUUAUAGUUGAUGUGUUUCACUCGGUUUUAAUUUUUAACCAGAUUUGUUUUUGCUUCUUUGAUUUAUGACUAUUGAACAGCUGUAUACUACUGUUGCCUUUAACUCACACACUCGAGGUGAGAUGAUACCACAAGACAACUGAGGCAGGUACAAUAAACAUGCUUUGUACAUGAAAACAUAUAUUUUACAAGUUUUGAAACACAGAACGAAAAAAGAUAUAAAUAAAAUUGAGAAUGGAAAUGGGGAAUGUGUCAAAGAGACAACAACCCGAUCAUAGAAAAAAACAACAGCAGAAGGUCACCAACAGGUCUUCAUUUUUGCUAGUAAAAGCAAUAAUUUGACUAUCAUUUGACCAUUAUCAUAUGUACAUUUAGCUAUAGCUAGCAUUAAUUCUUUGCUUCCUUCUCAUUCAAACAGAUAAAAGGUUCUUUUACAAGUGACUUGCAUGGAGAAGACAGUAAUGAGAACUCAAAACUGAUCAAUCCAGAGAAAAAAAUAUCAUCCAAUUCCAAAAGGAAAGGACAAAAACCAAAAGUGAUGUUUAAGGAUAAAGAUAAUGACAAGUA
RNAcentral lists this long non-coding RNA (692 nucleotides) under Mytilus galloprovincialis (Mediterranean mussel). Lineage: Eukaryota; Metazoa; Mollusca; Bivalvia; Mytilida; Mytilidae. The record is from RNAcentral.